UUGUGUGUGUUCUGUGGGGAGAUGGUUGGAGCGGGAUAUGUUGGGUCCACAGAGGAAGCAGGAGGAUGACUGUGGUGUGAAGGACCAGCUCCACUCUCACAGGUGUUGUAAAUGGAAAAUGUGUCAGUAAAUGAAGCAAGUAAAAAAGAAAUGAAACAGAGGCCUACACUUACUUGCCAGCUUCUCAACAUGGAUGUAUGAGAGCUGAUUGUUGUUAUAUUCAAAUGAGCACAACUCCUGCUGAGGAACACCAGGGGAGAGGACUCCAUUACAGACCGGAAGUCAGCCCAGAAGAACAAUAGCCUGUUUUGUGUGUGUGUGUGUGUGUGUGUGCUACUUUCAGGCGUAGAUAUUGGAUGUAGAGAUGUG
Osmerus eperlanus (European smelt) is the source of this 369-nucleotide long non-coding RNA. RefSeq lists it as uncharacterized. The transcript has 3 exons. The record is from RefSeq and is a predicted model, not a curated record. Lineage: Eukaryota; Metazoa; Chordata; Actinopteri; Osmeriformes; Osmeridae.